GGGGCGGCUACCAUGCAGUCGAGCGGGGGAAGGUAGCUUGCUACCGGACCUAGCGGCGGACGGGUGAGUAAUGCUUAGGAAUCUGCCUAUUAGUGGGGGACAACAUCUCGAAAGGGAUGCUAAUACCGCAUACGUCCUACGGGAGAAAGCAGGGGAUCUUCGGACCUUGCGCUAAUAGAUGAGCCUAAGUCGGAUUAGCUAGUUGGUGGGGUAAAGGCCUACCAAGGCGACGAUCUGUAGCGGGUCUGAGAGGAUGAUCCGCCACACUGGGACUGAGACACGGCCCAGACUCCUACGGGAGGCAGCAGUGGGGAAUAUUGGACAAUGGGGGGAACCCUGAUCCAGCCAUGCCGCGUGUGUGAAGAAGGCCUUAUGGUUGUAAAGCACUUUAAGCGAGGAGGAGGCUACUUUAGUUAAUACCUAGAGAUAGUGGACGUUACUCGCAGAAUAAGCACCGGCUAACUCUGUGCCAGCAGCCGCGGUAAUACAGAGGGUGCGAGCGUUAAUCGGAUUUACUGGGCGUAAAGCGUGCGUAGGCGGCUUAUUAAGUCGGAUGUGAAAUCCCCGAGCUUAACUUGGGAAUUGCAUCGAUACUGGUGAGCUAGAGUAUGGGAGAGGAUGGUAGAAUUCCAGGUGUAGCGGUGAAAUGCGUAGAGAUCUGGAGGAAUACCGAUGGCGAAGGCAGCCAUCUGGCCUAAUACUGACGCUGAGGUACGAAAGCAUGGGGAGCAAACAGGAUUAGAUACCCUGGUAGUCCAUGCCGUAAACGAUGUCUACUAGCCGUUGGGGCCUUUGAGGCUUUAGUGGCGCAGCUAACGCGAUAAGUAGACCGCCUGGGGAGUACGGUCGCAAGACUAAAACUCAAAUGAAUUGACGGGGGCCCGCACAAGCGGUGGAGCAUGUGGUUUAAUUCGAUGCAACGCGAAGAACCUUACCUGGCCUUGACAUACUAGAAACUUUCCAGAGAUGGAUUGGUGCCUUCGGGAAUCUAGAUACAGGUGCUGCAUGGCUGUCGUCAGCUCGUGUC
This 1027-nucleotide ribosomal RNA is filed under the name Acinetobacter baumannii. RNAcentral describes it as "bacterial SSU rRNA". It matches the Rfam family "Bacterial small subunit ribosomal RNA", at positions 41 to 1066 of the family's 1533-position model. Lineage: Bacteria; Pseudomonadati; Pseudomonadota; Gammaproteobacteria; Moraxellales; Moraxellaceae. The record is from RNAcentral.